AACCUGCGGAGGGAUCAUUACACAAAUAUGAAGGCGGGCUGGAACCUCUCGGGGUUACAGCCUUGCUGAAUUAUUCACCCUUGUCUUUUGCGUACUUCUUGUUUCCUUGGUGGGUUCGCCCACCACUAGGACAAACAUAAACCUUUUGUAAUUGCAAUCAGCGUCAGUAACAAAUUAAUAAUUACAACUUUCAACAACGGAUCUCUUGGUUCUGGCAUCGAUGAAGAACGCAGCGAAAUGCGAUAAGUAGUGUGAAUUGCAGAAUUCAGUGAAUCAUCGAAUCUUUGAACGCACAUUGCGCCCUUUGGUAUUCCAAAGGGCAUGCCUGUUCGAGCGUCAUUUGUACCCUCAAGCUUUGCUUGGUGUUGGGCGUCUUGUCUCUAGCUUUGCUGGAGACUCGCCUUAAAGUAAUUGGCAGCCGGCCUACUGGUUUCGGAGCGCAGCACAAGUCGCACUCUCUAUCAGCAAAGGUCUAGCAUCCAUUAAGCC
Molecule: ribosomal RNA, 489 nt
Filed under: Alternaria sp. 1029_4
Lineage: Eukaryota; Fungi; Ascomycota; Dothideomycetes; Pleosporales; Pleosporaceae
Description: eukaryotic LSU rRNA
Rfam family: 5.8S ribosomal RNA (bases 186-339)
Source: RNAcentral